Molecule: ribosomal RNA, 207 nt
Filed under: uncultured Lysobacteraceae bacterium
Lineage: Bacteria; Pseudomonadati; Pseudomonadota; Gammaproteobacteria; Lysobacterales; Lysobacteraceae
Description: uncultured Xanthomonadaceae bacterium partial 16S ribosomal RNA
Rfam family: Bacterial small subunit ribosomal RNA
Source: RNAcentral
UGCGUAGGUGGUUCGUUAAGUCUGAUGUGAAAGCCCUGGGCUCAACCUGGGAAUUGCAUUGGAUACUGGCGGGCUAGAGUGCGGUAGAGGGUAGUGGAAUUCCCGGUGUAGCAGUGAAAUGCGUAGAUAUCGGGAGGAACAUCCGUGGCGAAGGCGACUGCCUGGACCAGCACUGACACUGAGGCACGAAAGCGUGGGGAGCAAACA